AAUGAACGCUGGCGGCAGGCCUAACACAUGCAAGUCGAACGGAGUUAUAUUGUAGCUUGCUAUGGUAUAACUUAGUGGCAGACGGGUGAGUAAUGUAUAGGAAUCUACCUAGUAGUACGGAAUAAUUGUUGGAAACGGCAACUAAUACCGUAUACGCCCUACGGGGGAAAAAUUUAUUGCUAUUAGAUGAGCCUAUAUUAGAUUAGCUAGUUGGUGGAGUAAUAGCCUACCAAGGCAAUGAUCUAUAGCUGAUCUGAGAGGAUGAUCAGCCACACUGGAACUGAGAUACGGUCCAGACUCCUACGGGAGGCAGCAGUGGGGAAUAUUGGACAAUGGUCGAAAGCCUGAUCCAGCCAUGCCGCAUGAGUGAAGAAGGCCUUUGGGUUGUAAAGCUCUUUUAGUGAGGAAGAUAAUGACGGUACUCACAGAAGAAGUCCUGGCUAACUCCGUG
This 451-nucleotide ribosomal RNA is filed under the name uncultured Wolbachia sp. RNAcentral's name for it is "bacterial SSU rRNA". It matches the Rfam family "Bacterial small subunit ribosomal RNA", at positions 29 to 507 of the family's 1533-position model. Lineage: Bacteria; Pseudomonadati; Pseudomonadota; Alphaproteobacteria; Rickettsiales; Anaplasmataceae. The record is from RNAcentral.